This 385-nucleotide long non-coding RNA is filed under the name Theobroma cacao (cacao). Its description in RNAcentral is "long non-coding RNA (TCAC_LNC005492)". The record is from RNAcentral. Lineage: Eukaryota; Viridiplantae; Streptophyta; Magnoliopsida; Malvales; Malvaceae.
UUCAUUUCACCUCCAUGAAAAUCAAUUUUUUUUCAUUUGAUUUUCCUUGUUUUCAUUUCAUUUCCUUUCUUUUCUUACUUCUUUCUUCUCCUAACGUCUUGGGCACCAAACCUGCAGCUUCUAACCCCAUUUUCUAGUACAACCAAACCCUAGGAGAGAGAAGGAAAAAAUCUCUCUUUCUUUCCUUUAUUUUCUAUUUCUACUCCACCAUCACCGACACUUGAAUUUUCAACUUUAAAUCUCCAUUUUUUAGGCUAAAAGGUAUAUAAUUUUAACUCCUGGAAUUUAUGAAUUUAUGGGUUAUAUUUUCAGAUUUUAUUUCCUAAUUUCUUCAAAUUCUUUUUCUUGGAAAUAUUAGGUUUUUGUUGAUCUUUAUGCCUCCAAG